GGAACGUUAUCGGGAUACUGGGGCGUAAGCGUGUGUAGGCGGUUCGGAAAGAAAGAUGUGAAAUCCCAGGGCUCAACCUUGGAACUGCAUUUUUAACUGCCGAGCUAGAGUAUGUCAGAGGGGGGUAGAAUUCCACGUGUAGCAGUGAAAUGCGUAGAUAUGUGGAGGAAUACCGAUGGCGAAGGCAGCCCCCUGGGAUAAUACUGACGCUCAGACACGAAAGCGUGGGGAGCAAACAGGAUUAGAUACCCUGGUAGUCCACGCCCUAAACGAUGUCAACUAGCUGUUGGGGCCGUUAGGCCUUAGUAGCGCAGCUAACGCGUGAAGUUGACCGCCUGGGGAGUACGGUCGCAAGAUUAAAACUCAAAGGAAUUGACGGGGACCCGCACAAGCGGUGGAUGAUGUGGAUUAAUUCGAUGCAACGCGAAAAACCUUACCUACCCUUGACAUGUCUGGAAAGCCGAAGAGAUUUGGCCGUGCUCGCAAGAGAACCGGAACACAGGUGCUGCAUGGCUGUCGUCAGCUCGUGUCGUGAGAUGUUGGGUUAAGUCCCGCAACGAGCGCAACCCUUGUCAUUAGUUGCUACGCAAGAGCACUCUAAUGAGACUGCCGGUGACAAACCGGAGGAAGGUGGGGAUGACGUCAAGUCCUCAUGGCCCUUAUGGGUAGGGCUUCACACGUCAUACAAUGGUCGGGACAGAGGGUCGCCAACCCGCGAGGGGGAGCCAAUCUCAGAAACCCGAUCGUAGUCCGGAUCGCAGUCUGCAACUCGACUGCGUGAAGUCGGAAUCGCUAGUAAUCGCGGAUCAGAAUGUCGCGGUGAAUACGUUCCCGGGUCUUGUACACACCGCCCGUCACACCAUGGGAGUGGGUUUCACCAGAAGUAGGUAGCCUAACCGUAAGGAGGGCGCUUACCACGGUGGGAUUCAUGACUGGGGUGAAGUCUAAGGGGGGGGGGCCCGCAUAAAAAG
Molecule: ribosomal RNA, 971 nt
Filed under: Alcaligenes faecalis
Lineage: Bacteria; Pseudomonadati; Pseudomonadota; Betaproteobacteria; Burkholderiales; Alcaligenaceae
Description: bacterial SSU rRNA
Rfam family: Bacterial small subunit ribosomal RNA
Source: RNAcentral